Long non-coding RNA from Tupaia belangeri chinensis (Chinese tree shrew), 223 nucleotides. RefSeq lists it as uncharacterized. The record is from RefSeq and is a predicted model, not a curated record. NCBI's taxonomy places the organism in Eukaryota, Metazoa, Chordata, Mammalia, Scandentia, Tupaiidae. The transcript is spliced from 3 exons.
AGCGUCUGCUCGUCCUCGCACAGGUCAUAGGGCAUGUUCCCGUCUGAGUUGACGGCCAAGAGGUGAAAAGCCCAUCUGCUCCCCACCACAUCGGCCACGUCACUGACCACUGAGCACUCUGGACAGGCCUCCUGGAAGGGCACCUGCAGGUCAUUCCGGGCAGCAGCCUCCAGCAGGGUGACGGAGGGAGGGAAGAGCACCCGCUUCCGGGGCCCCCGGCAGG